RNAcentral lists this ribosomal RNA (451 nucleotides) under uncultured bacterium. Its description in RNAcentral is "bacterial SSU rRNA". It matches the Rfam family "Bacterial small subunit ribosomal RNA", at positions 340 to 786 of the family's 1533-position model. The record is from RNAcentral.
UACGGGAGGCAGCAGUGGGGAAUAUUGCACAAUGGGCGCAAGCCUGAUGCAGCCAUGCCGCGUGUAUGAAGAAGGCCUUCGGGUUGUAAAGUACUUUCAGUCGUGAGGAAGGUGUUAAGGUUAAUAACCUUAGCAAUUGACGUUAGCGACAGAAGAAGCACCGGCUAACUCCGUGCCAGCAGCCGCGGUAAUACGGAGGGUGCGAGCGUUAAUCGGAAUUACUGAGCGUAAAGGGCACGCAGGCGGUUAAUUAAGUUGGAUGUGAAAUCCCCGGGCUUAACCUGGGAAUGGCAUUCAAGACUGGUUAGCUAGAGUCUUGUAGAGGGGGUAGAAUUCCAUGUGUAGCGGUGAAAUGCGUAGAGAUGUGGAGGAAUACCGGUGGCGAAGGCGGCCCCUGGACAAGACUGACGCUCAUGUGCGAAAGCGUGGGGAGCAAACAGGAUUAGAUACC